Molecule: non-coding RNA, 82 nt
Organism: Polyplosphaeria fusca
Lineage: Eukaryota; Fungi; Ascomycota; Dothideomycetes; Pleosporales; Tetraplosphaeriaceae
Source: the annotation of a GenBank genome assembly
GCAUCCGUAGCCCAGUGGUUAGGGUAUCGCCUUCCCAUAAUCAUGAUAGGCGGGGAUCGCGGGUUCGAGUAAGUCGUGUGUC